AGUGAACGCUGGCGGUAGGCCUAACACAUGCAAGUCGAACGGCAGCACAGUAAGAGCUUGCUCUUACGGGUGGCGAGUGGCGGACGGGUGAGGAAUACAUCGGCAUCUACUUUUUCGUGGGAGAUAACGUAGGGAAACUUACGCUAAUACCGCAUACGACCUACGGGUGAAAGCAGGGGAUCUUCGGACCUUGCGCGAUUGAAUGAGCCGAUGUCGGAUUAGCUAGUUGGCGGGGUAAAGGCCCACCAAGGCGACGAUGCGUAGCCGGUCUGAGAGGAUGAUCAGCCACACUGGAACUGAGACACGGUCCAGACUCCUACGGGAGGCAGCAGUGGGGAAUAUUGGACAAUGGGCGAAAGCCUGACCCAGCAACACCGCGUGGGUGAAGAAGGUCUUCGGAUUGUAAAGCCCUGUUAUUAGGAAAGAAAAAAAGCAGGAGAAUCCCUCGCUGUUCUGACGGUACCCAAAGAGUAAGCACCGGCUAACUUCGUG
RNAcentral lists this ribosomal RNA (492 nucleotides) under uncultured bacterium. RNAcentral's name for it is "partial 16S ribosomal RNA". It matches the Rfam family "Bacterial small subunit ribosomal RNA", at positions 29 to 507 of the family's 1533-position model. The record is from RNAcentral.